This 247-nucleotide long non-coding RNA is filed under the name Malus domestica (apple). RNAcentral's name for it is "long non-coding RNA (MDOM_LNC016584)". Lineage: Eukaryota; Viridiplantae; Streptophyta; Magnoliopsida; Rosales; Rosaceae. The record is from RNAcentral.
UGUGCAUCCGGUAUGCCAUGGUGGACUAAAAAAGGUUAAGGUGUUCAAUCGAAUCCUCAUUUCCAGUAUAGAGUUGCAAGCUAAGCUUCUGCUUUGUCUUUGCUUGGAGGGGGGUGUCGAGGAUCCUCAUUGUAAGAGGGCCAGGCCUAGGUUGGUUCCAAUCAAGUAUCUCAGCUUGUCGUUCGGCCUUCAACUUGUUUACUUCCUUAAGGAGUUAUAGGACAAGAGGGUCCUGAGUGGAGUCAUG